CACAAUGGACGCAAGUCUGAUGCAGCAACGCCGCGUGGAGGAUGACGGUCUUUGGAUUGUAAACUCCUUUUCUCAGGGAAGAGAAUGGACGGUACCUGAGGAAUAAGUCACGGCUAACUACGUGCCAGCAGCCGCGGUAAUACGUAGGUGGCAAGCGUUAUCCGGAAUUACUGGGCGUAAAGCGCACGCAGGCGGCUUACCAAGUUCGACGUGAAAGCUCCCGGCUUAACUGGGAGAGGUCGUUGAAAACUGGUAGGCUUGAGGCAAUGAGAGGGGUGUAGAAUUCCCGGUGUAGUGGUGGAAUGCGUAGAUAUCGGGGGGAAUACCAGUGGCGAAAGCGGCACCCUAGCGUUGUUCUGACGCUCAUGUGCGAAAGCGUGGGGAGCGAACGGGAUUAGAUACCCCGGUAGUCCACGCUGUAAACGAUGAACACUAGGUGUAGGUGAUGUGAAAGUCAUCUGUACCGAAGCCAACGCGUUAAGUGUUCCGCCUGGGGAGUACGGCCGCAAGGCUA
This 514-nucleotide ribosomal RNA is filed under the name uncultured Chloroflexota bacterium. Its description in RNAcentral is "bacterial SSU rRNA". It matches the Rfam family "Bacterial small subunit ribosomal RNA", at positions 367 to 896 of the family's 1533-position model. Lineage: Bacteria; Bacillati; Chloroflexota. The record is from RNAcentral.